CCUAGGGUGGCAGCAGUGGGGAAUAUUGCACAAUGGGGGAAACCCUGAUGCAGCGACGCCGCGUGAGUGAAGAAGUAUUUCGGUAUGUAAAGCUCUAUCAGCAGGAACGAGACAAGACGGUGCCUUACUAAAAAGCCCCGGCUAACUACGUGCCAGCAGCCGCGGUAAUACGUAGGGGGCAAGCGUUAUCCGGAAUCACUGUGUGUAAAGGGAGCGUAGACGGGUGAGCAAGCCUGAAGGGAAAGGCGGGGGCCCAACCCCCGGACUGCUUUGGGAACUGUACGGCUGGAGUGCAGGAGAGGUAAGUGGAAUUCUUGGUGUAGGGGUAAAAUCCGUAGAGAUCAAGAGGAAUACUAAUUGCGAAGGCGACCUGCUAGAACAUAACUGACGCUGAUGCGCGAAAGCGUGGGGAGCAAACAGGAUUAGAUACCCCAGUAGUC
RNAcentral lists this ribosomal RNA (440 nucleotides) under uncultured bacterium. Its description in RNAcentral is "partial 16S ribosomal RNA". It matches the Rfam family "Bacterial small subunit ribosomal RNA", at positions 338 to 795 of the family's 1533-position model. The record is from RNAcentral.